Molecule: long non-coding RNA, 608 nt
Organism: Populus nigra (black poplar)
Lineage: Eukaryota; Viridiplantae; Streptophyta; Magnoliopsida; Malpighiales; Salicaceae
Exons: 2
Source: RefSeq, a predicted model, not a curated record
UGAUAGGCACCAACAAGAUGAACAACGAUUGCAACAUUAGCGAUGUCUAAUAGCCAGUAGGGGUUGUAGAAUCCAAAGCCAGUCAAAAGAUUUCCAGGGGCCAAAUCACCAAAAGCUGCAUAGCCCAUGCAUCCACAGAGUGGAGAUCUUAUUGUAUCCUGCAAAUGAAAAGGCAAGCACAGGUAUCAAUUGUUGGACUACUAAAUUUACCCUCAAUGACUGUUCCUUAAAAUGUAGUCAAAGUAUUACCUGAAUUUCGAUGAGGAUAAUGGAGAACGAGUAAGCAAAGGCAAUGGCUCCAAGAGCUUGCAAACUUCUCCAUAGUUUCUGUGUAGAAGUAACUGGUCCAGCAUGUGUUUCCGUCCCUAUACUGAUACCAGUCAGGCUUCCUUUGAAGGUUCCAUUUCCUGCAAAUGAGAGUGCAGAGGUGUUCUUUGAACUUCAUUAUACACACGACUCAAAUUCCUAUGCUUGUACUAAGUCUUUCCAUUUAAUAUCUUUGCUGCUGAAGUAAUUUCUAGAUUUGAUCUGUUUCUGUAAAUAAUGAAUAAUGAGAUAAUCAGAAUCACAAUGAUGUAAUUAUUUUUGUAUACCUGCAACUUUGCCUA